GCCUGAUUGAUUUCCCCUCGGGACUUAAAAUCCCCCGCUCGUAAGGGCGUGCCGGUUCGAUUCCGGCUUCGGGCACCA
Molecule: transfer RNA, 78 nt
Filed under: Pseudomonas silesiensis
Lineage: Bacteria; Pseudomonadati; Pseudomonadota; Gammaproteobacteria; Pseudomonadales; Pseudomonadaceae
Also listed under: 2 other names
Description: tRNA-OTHER
Source: RNAcentral